RNAcentral lists this long non-coding RNA (949 nucleotides) under Pan troglodytes (chimpanzee). RNAcentral's name for it is "long non-coding RNA NONPTRT009238". The record is from RNAcentral. Lineage: Eukaryota; Metazoa; Chordata; Mammalia; Primates; Hominidae.
GAGGGAUGUUUGAGCCUUAUGGAAACUCAGGGUGCAGGGUCAGGAAGGUGGAUAAAGGACAUGGAGUGGGAGCCAAGAGGAGGAUAAGAGCUGGUGGGGAGGAUGGAGCAGGCUUAGGAGAGGAGGCAGCCUUUGUGUUUGUCAUCAACUUAGACAGAUGGAGCUGGGGGACAGGGCUCUCAGUGGAGGAAUUAGCCUGGGUGAAAGCUCACAGGUGGCAAUGGAGGGAGUUUCCAGAACAGCAAGUAGGCCCCAUGUGGCUGGGGAGUGAGGUGCCGGAUAACUGGAACUGGGAAGCAGAGGCUGCACACAGGUCCUAAGGGACCUUGAGAGCCAGGGUAAGGAGCCUGGGUAUCACCCUGCAGGGAUGGAAUGCUGCUGCCAUAUUUCUGCUGUGUGACCCAGCCCAUGGCCACAGUUGUUUGGAGCAAGUUGGGCCAAAAGCCUCAUCUUUCCUUGGAAAUUGGUGUUUGGAUUCUGGGUACUGGUCAGAAUGUGGUGGGAGCUUGAAUGGGAAAGGGUGAGAACAGGAAACCAGGAAGCCUCACCCAGGCCUUGUGCAUAAGGAGCCACAGAAAGGCUCUCUGCAGAGAAGGAGAGGCAAAGCAGACAUGUAGAGAAUGCAGAAGAGGUUGGAGAUGGCUUAAUGAAACUGUAUAAUAGAGUGAGCCAAAGCACAUUAAAAAUUAGUUUAAAAAGACCCCCCAAACAGAAAACAAAAACAAAAGGCAGAAAAUAAAAGCAAGGUAGGUAAGUCCAGAUUGAACUAGAAGUGACAUGAUGACGUAAAAGCUGUGUUGAGAUGGGCCAAGAGUUGAUGCUGGGCCUCCUAGUGGCCAAUGGGAAGAGGGAAAAAAGAUCAACUGUGAGACCCAUGGUGUUUCUCAAGGAAAAGCAAACCCACUGCUCAGGAGAGAUCUCCUCCUAAGAUCUACUCACUGCCUCUGGG